Molecule: ribosomal RNA, 519 nt
Filed under: uncultured bacterium
Lineage: Bacteria
Description: bacterial SSU rRNA
Rfam family: Bacterial small subunit ribosomal RNA
Source: RNAcentral
AGAGUUUGAUUCUGGUCAGGAUGAACGCUAGCUACAGGCUAACACAUGCAAGUCGAGGGGCAGCAUGAUCUUAGCUUGCUAAGAUGAUGGCGACCGGCGCACGGGUGAGUAACGCGUAUCCAACCUUCCCUGUACUAGGGGAUAGCCCGGCGAAAGUCGGAUUAAUACCCUAUGUUUUCCGAAGCGAGCAUUUAAUUUGGAACAAAGGUUUACCGGUAUAGGAUGGGGAUGCGUCUGAUUAGAUAGUAGGCGGGGUAACGGCCCACCUAGUCGACGAUCAGUAAGGGUUCUGAGAGGAAGGUCCCCCACAUUGGAACUGAGACACGGUCCAAACUCCUACGGGAGGCAGCAGUGAGGAAUAUUGGUCAAUGGGCGAGAGCCUGAACCAGCCAAGUAGCGUGCCAGGAUGACGGCCCUAUGGGUUGUAAACUGCUUUUAUAUAGGGAUAAAGUGAGGGACGUGUCCCUUAUUGUAGGUACUAUAUGAAUAAGGACCGGCUAAUUCCGUGCCAGCCGCUGC